RNAcentral lists this ribosomal RNA (52 nucleotides) under Aegilops tauschii subsp. strangulata. The record is from RNAcentral. Lineage: Eukaryota; Viridiplantae; Streptophyta; Magnoliopsida; Poales; Poaceae.
CCAGCACAAAAGCACCGGAUCCCAUCAGAACUCCGAAGUUAAGCGUGCUUGG